GGUACAUCUUUAGUUUGACAGAGAAGGAAAACUGGGUGCCCAACUAUCCUGGUAACCCAUUAUGCAAGCAUUUUUUUUCUAAUUGAACGAUGAAAAGGGAUAACUAGAAAAGCUUUCUAACCGUGCUUUAUGCCAUUAAAACUCAACGAGAUUCCCAAUCCUUUAACUUCUUGCUUCCUUUGGGUUUCAAUAUUGGUGCAUUCAUUCCGGCCAUUUUUGCAUUGUAUUUUGCCCGAAGAGGAUCGUUAUAGGUCCAAGGGUU
RNAcentral lists this unclassified non-coding RNA (262 nucleotides) under Hevea brasiliensis (rubber tree). The record is from RNAcentral. Lineage: Eukaryota; Viridiplantae; Streptophyta; Magnoliopsida; Malpighiales; Euphorbiaceae.